CUGCAAGGCUCGUGCCUGUCUGAAUCUCCGGGAGGGGUCUGCAGCCUGAACCACGUACUGGAAUAGAGACCAGAAUCUGAGGGAGAGCAGAUUCGGCCUUGAGAACGCCUACAACAACUUCCGGCCCACCCUGGAGACUGUUGACUCUGGCACAGAGCUCCACAUCCAGAGGCCGGAGAUGGUAGCAUCCACUGUGUGAGCCAACGGGGGCCUCCCACCCUCAUCUAGCUCUGUUCAGGAGAGCUGCAAACACAGAGCCCACCACAAGCCUCCGGGGCGGGUCAAGAGGAGACCGAAGUCAGGCCCUGAAGCCGGUCCUGCUCUGAGCUGACAGACUUGGCCUGUGCUCCUGCUGGGGAAGGCUGGGGGCUGUAAGCCUCUCCAUCCGGGAGCUUCCAGACUCCCAGAAGCCUCGGCACCCCUGUCUCCUCCUGGGUGGCUCCCCACUCUGGAAUUUCCCUACCAAUAAAAGCAAAUCUUAAAGCUCAAAA
RNAcentral lists this small RNA (491 nucleotides) under Pan troglodytes (chimpanzee). RNAcentral describes it as "processed transcript". The record is from RNAcentral. Lineage: Eukaryota; Metazoa; Chordata; Mammalia; Primates; Hominidae.